This 329-nucleotide ribosomal RNA is filed under the name uncultured eukaryote. Its description in RNAcentral is "partial 18S ribosomal RNA". It matches the Rfam family "Eukaryotic small subunit ribosomal RNA", at positions 1470 to 1796 of the family's 1831-position model. The record is from RNAcentral.
CCCUUAGAUGUUCUGGGCCGCACGCGCGCUACACUGAUGCAUUCAACGAGUCUAAAACCUGCUCUGAUAGGGGUGGGUAAUCUUUUGAAUGUGCAUCGUGAUUGGGAUAGAUGAUUGAAAUUUUUCAUCUUCAACGAGGAAUGCCUAGUAAACGCAAGUCAUCAGCUUGCAUUGAUUACGUCCCUGCCCUUUGUACACACCGCCCGUCGCUCCUACCAAUUGAAUGAUCCGAUGAAUAUCAUGGAUUGAGGAUGCAAGUAGGUUCACCUAUCUUCAUCUUCGAGAAGUGAAGUAAAUCUUAUCAUUUAGAGGAAGGAGAAGUCGUAACA